CGCGUAGGUGGUAGUGCAAGUCUGGGGUGGAAUCCCAGGGCUUAACCCUGGAACUGCCUUGGAAACUGUAUUACUUGAGUCAGUGAGGGGAGGGUAGAAUUCCUGGUGUAGCGGUGAAAUGCGUAGAUAUCAGGAGGAAGGCCUGUGGCGAAGGCGGCCCUCUGGCGCUGAACUGACACUGAGGCGCGAAAGCGUGGGGAGCAAACAGGAUUAGAUACCCUGGUAGUCCACGCCAUAAACGGUGGGUACUAGGUGUAGGGCUCGUAAGGGUUCUGUGCCGAAGCGAAAGCAUUAAGUACCCCGCCUGGGGAGUACGGCCGCAAGGUUGAA
Molecule: ribosomal RNA, 330 nt
Filed under: uncultured bacterium
Lineage: Bacteria
Description: bacterial SSU rRNA
Rfam family: Bacterial small subunit ribosomal RNA
Source: RNAcentral